GUCCUAGUAAUGCUGGUGGUCUUACCUGAUGACAAGCCACAGUCCAGAAGGAGGGCUUGAACCACAGCAGGUGCAUGUGACUGGGAGAUUUCUUAUGUUGGAGGAUCGGGAGCACAAGCCAUGGCCAUCUGGACAUCUAGACCACACGAGAUAAACAGUCUGGGCAGACACUGGCAUGAUGGGUGUGUGGGCCGCACCCGGGAGUCACUGUGUGCCCAACUGCUACCUGGACUUCAAGAGAUCCAGGACAAGAUGAUCUCAUGUUGUUAACACCAACACCUCAGAGGAAACUGGAACCACCACAAGGUCCAACACAGGCUUCAAGACCUAGCCACUCUGUUGACCUUGACCCUCAACUUGGCCGCUCCGUUGACCUUGACCUUCAAUUUGAUAUGAUUAAAAACAUCAAGUAACUUAACAAUGUGAUGACCCUGGAGUACAGACACAAUUUUAAUGUGGAUGUCUAGUAGAAAACACUGAAAUCCACACUCUGGUGGAAACUAGACAUAGUUCCUUAUGUUUCUUUAGUGUCACCAGAGCCUACCUAGAAGAAGCAAGACUUAUACCCUGAUUUCUAUAGAUCUUUACCUUUAUCUUAUGUACCUAACACAGUGUCAUCUUACAAUAUUCUUUGUCAACUAUUUCCUGCCCUACCAUUAUGUAUAUAGUCUUCAAUAAAUAUAAGGUUUCAUUGUG
Long non-coding RNA from Mesocricetus auratus (golden hamster), 696 nucleotides. RefSeq lists it as uncharacterized. NCBI's taxonomy places the organism in Eukaryota, Metazoa, Chordata, Mammalia, Rodentia, Cricetidae. The transcript has 2 exons. The record is from RefSeq and is a predicted model, not a curated record.